CCUACGGGAGGCAGCAGUGGGGAAUUUUCCGCAAUGGGCGAAAGCCUGACGGAGCAACGCCGCGUGAGGGAUGAAGGCCUCUGGGCUGUAAACCUCUUUUAUCAAGGAAGAAGAUCUGACGGUACUUGAUGAAUAAGCCACGGCUAAUUCCGUGCCAGCAGCCGCGGUAAUACGGGAGUGGCAAGCGUUAUCCGGAAUUAUUGGGCGUAAAGCGUCCGCAGGCGGUCUUGUAAGUCUGUCGUUAAAGCGUGGAGCUCAACUCCAUUUCGGCGGUGGAAACUACAAGACUAGAGUGUGGUAGGGGCAGAGGGAAUUCCCGGUGUAGCGGUGAAAUGCGUAGAUAUCGGGAAGAACACCAGUGGCGAAGGCGCUCUGCUGGGCCAUAACUGACGCUCAUGGACGAAAGCUAGGGGAGCGAAAGGGAUUAGAUACCCCUGUAGUCCUAGCCGUAAACGAUGAACACUAGGUGUCGGGGGAAUCGACCCCUCGGUGUCGUAGCUAACGCGUUAAGUGUUCCGCCUGGGGAGUACGCACGCAAGUGUGAAACUCAAAGGAAUUGACGG
RNAcentral lists this ribosomal RNA (563 nucleotides) under uncultured bacterium. RNAcentral's name for it is "bacterial SSU rRNA". It matches the Rfam family "Bacterial small subunit ribosomal RNA", at positions 338 to 916 of the family's 1533-position model. The record is from RNAcentral.